UAGUCCGCACGAGCGCACCCUUGUUUUUAGUUGCCUUAUGGAACUCUAGAAAGACUGCCGGUUAUAAACCGGAGGAAGGCGGGGAUGACGUCAAGUCAGCAUGCCCCUUACACCCUGGGCUACACACGUGCUACAAUGGGCGAGACAAUGAGAUGCAACUCUGCGAAGACUAGCUAAUCUAUAAACUCGCUCUAAGUUCGGAUUGCAGGCUGCAACUCGCCUGCAUGAAGUUGGAAUCGCUAGUAAUCGCUGGUCAGCUAUACAGCGGUGAAUCCGUUCCCGGGCCUU
This 288-nucleotide ribosomal RNA is filed under the name uncultured bacterium. RNAcentral describes it as "partial 16S ribosomal RNA". It matches the Rfam family "Bacterial small subunit ribosomal RNA", at positions 1082 to 1382 of the family's 1533-position model. The record is from RNAcentral.